RNAcentral lists this transfer RNA (72 nucleotides) under Angulomastax meiospina. Its description in RNAcentral is "tRNA-Phe". The record is from RNAcentral. Lineage: Eukaryota; Metazoa; Arthropoda; Insecta; Orthoptera; Eumastacidae.
AUUUUAAUAGCUUAAUUAAGAGUUCUACAUUGAAGAUGUGGCGGUGGUGUAUUACCUUAAAAUAUUUAUAAG